This 616-nucleotide long non-coding RNA is filed under the name Hordeum vulgare. RNAcentral describes it as "long non-coding RNA (HVUL_LNC002348)". The record is from RNAcentral. Lineage: Eukaryota; Viridiplantae; Streptophyta; Magnoliopsida; Poales; Poaceae.
GCCCAGCGCUGGCAGAGACCGGGCGCCGAAGCUGCUGGCCGAGCUGCGCGGCACGACGGCCGCACCGGCGAAGGAGCUCAUGGACAUCAUGGUCGCCAUUGAUCAGCUGCGGACGGAAGGUGCACGUACGAGAGGACAGAAACAAGCCACAGAUGCUGCAACCGGCAAAGAUGAUUGCUAGUACACUGCUGCUUGUUGUUGUCUCGUUCCUGAUGUGUUUGCUGAUGUAUUAUUUCGAGAGAGUGGACACAAAUUUAUAGGCCGUGCUCCGCGAGGGCCAACCCGUGNNNNNNNNNNAAGCCGAGCCGCGCAGCACGACGGCCGCACCGGGGAAGGAGCUCAUGGACAUGAUGGACGCCAUUGAUCAGCUGCGGACGGAAGGUGCACGAGUGGACAGAAACAAGCCACAGAUGCUGCAACAGGCAAAGAUGAUUGAUAGUUGGAGGAAGGUGUUUGCUGAUGUAUACUUCCUCCGUUCCUAAAUAUAAGUCUUUUAAGCGAUUUCACUAAGAGUUACAUACGGAGAAAUCUACACUGUAAACAAAAUGAGUGAAUCUACACUGUAAAAUAAUAUGUUAGUCUACUAGUGGAAUCUCGAUAAAAAAUUAUAUUUAGG